RNAcentral lists this long non-coding RNA (1847 nucleotides) under Sus scrofa (pig). RNAcentral describes it as "lncRNA (ENSSSCG00035002571.1)". The record is from RNAcentral. Lineage: Eukaryota; Metazoa; Chordata; Mammalia; Artiodactyla; Suidae.
AUUAAAAAAAAAUUUUUAUUACCCAAAUGAAUUUAUCACAUCUGCAGUUGUAUAAUGAUCAUAACAAUCCAAUUUCACAGGAUUUCCACCCCAUAACCCAAACACAUCCCCCCACCCCCCAAACUGUCUCCUCUGGAGACCUUAAGUUUUUCAAUGUCUGUGAGUCAGCAUCUGUUCUGCAAAGAAGUUCAAUCUGUCCUUUUUUCAGAUUCCACAUGUCAGUGAAAGCAUUUGAUGUUGGUGUCUCAUUGUAUGGCUGACGGAGAAGUUUCUUUAAAACUUUUCUACAACUUAGAUUUACAAGGAGAUCCUGCUGAGUAGCAUUGAGAACUAUGUCUAGAUACUCAUGUUGCAACAGAACAAAGGGUGGGGGAAAAAUGUAUACAUGUAAGGAUAACUUGAUCCCUUUGCUGUACAGUGGGAAAAAAAAUAAAUUGUUAAAAAAAAUUCUUAAAAAAAUAAAGUUAGAUAAAAAUCACACAAAAAAAUAAAAUAAAAUAAAAAAAUAAAACUUUUCUAGACUGUGCUCCUGAGCAGUUAGCAAAACCAAAAAGAAUGGGCUAUUGUUAAUUCGUUCACUCAACAAAAAUUCACUGAAUAUCUACAAUGAAUCAGGUUCUGAGUGAUACCUACUAAUGAACAGAGUAUUUCUAACAGUUCUGAAAAGUUUAAAAAUGUUAGAACUUUCACUUAAGCAACUCAUAAUACAAAUUAAUAUUUUUGUAUUUGCUCAUGAAAGCCAUUUCCUGGAUCCUAGAAUGAAGGCAUAAGCAACACAGAGCCUCAACCGUUUUCCAGACCACAUUAUUACCGAGGGAGAAACAAACUCUAGUUGCUGUAAACCAGAGAUCAUGGACUUAUAUGGCACCACAGCAUAAACCAUGGAAAGCUAACUAAUACAGUAAGUAUCCCAUCAUGCAAACUAGAACAACAGACAAGCCUAUUUCCAUCGAGUUAUUUAAUGGAGUCCUUGUACAAAGGCCAGUGACAACCUGAGAAAAACGAGCUGCAACAGCCAGUAAAUAAAACAGAGGGGUUUAUCCAGGUUGUAAGGAGGUGAUGCUUGAAUACCACCUACCAUCAUAGACUUCAAACUUAUAUUUUUACGUAUCCAAAGUAAAGCAGAGGACGGUUUAUGUAAUGCAUUACUUUUUUUUGUUGUUGUUUUUGCCAUUUCUUAGGCCGCUCCCAUGGCAUAUGGUGAUUCCCAGGCUAGGGGUCGAAUCGGAGCUGUAGCCGCCGGCCUACGCCAGAGCCACACAACGCUGGAUCCGAGCCGCGUCUGCAACCUACAUCACAGCUCACGGCAACGCCGGAUCGUUAACCCACUGAGCAAGCCAGGGAUCGAACCUGCAACCUUAUGGUUCCUAGUCGGAUUCGUUAACCACUGAGCCACAACGGGAACUCCAAUGCAUUACAUUUUAUAUUUCUUUCUUUGUUUUUUUUUUUUGUCUUUUGUCUUUUUUGUUGUUGUUGCUAUUUCUUGGGCCGCUCCCGCGGCAUAUGGAGGUUCCCAGGCUAGGGGCUGAAUCGGAGCCGUAGCCACCGGCCUACACCAGAGCCACAGCAACGCUGGAUCCGAGCCGCGUCUGCAACCUACAUCACAGCUCACGGCAACGCCGGAUCGUUAACCCACUGAGCAAGCCAGGGAUCGAACCUGCAACCUUAUGGUUCCUAGUCGGAUUCGUUAACCACUGCGCCACGACGGGAACUCCAGGACUCCCAGGAAUUCUGAUUCCAAAGUUUCGGUUUUCCCAUAUAUCACAGUAAUCACCUAAUAAUGCAAGUCGCUGUUUUUAAUCCGAAUAAAACCUUUUUGUAAAGGCCUGGCUAAUUCUGAUAAGGAU